Phascolarctos cinereus (koala) is the source of this 2060-nucleotide non-coding RNA. The record is from RefSeq and is a predicted model, not a curated record. Lineage: Eukaryota; Metazoa; Chordata; Mammalia; Diprotodontia; Phascolarctidae.
UGUGUGUGUGUGUGUGUGUGUGUGUGUGUGUGUGUGUAUUUGGGGUAGAGCUAGGUGUUAUCUUGACCUAGUGACUCAGGAAGGAGAAACCACCAGCAAGGCAGGCUGGGUGAGCCACUGCCUCAUUCACUGAUGAUGGUAUUGAAAGACAGGCCUUACCUUGGAAGCCUGGAGCAGCACAGCCUGACUUUGUCAUUGAAAGACCAUUUCAGGGCAGUGUUCCUGGAAGCCUCUUUCCUGGGGGGCAGCAGCACAUUUCUGUGAUGACUCAUUGAGUUUCUGUUGUUUUUGUGUCUCCUUCCCAACAGUUGAAAGAAAAAGUCUUGUCCUUAAUUAAUGAAGUGACAGAGACUCAUGGGGAGCUGGAAGAGUUUCAGGAAUGGUGUGAAUGAGAGGAUGAGCAAGGGAUGAACCUAAUAUGUCUUCUGAGAUCUGACAUGAACCAUAGCCAGAAUGAAAGAUUGUUGGCCCCUUGCAUCUGGAAUAUUCCUCCUUACCUCCACCUCUUGGAAACCCAAGUUUCCUUCAAAAUUCCCACAGAGGCCUGUAUAAGAAGCGUUUCGUGAUCCUGCCCUGGACUCUAGUUACUAAUGCUGUGAUCCCCAUUCUCUUCUAUCUACUUUUUAUCCUGUGGAGACAAAUGUACAUGUGUAGGACAUCUAUGAGUAUGUAUGUACGUACAAUCUUCUCUCCCCCACUAGAAUGGAAUCUCCAGGAUAGGCAGUGUUAAGACUUGCUUCUAGCAUUGUGCCUAGCACACAGCAGGUGCUAAAUAAAUACUUGUUGCUUGAUUGUCAUUCGAUUAUAUUGUUGGUCUUGAAGAUUCCCAUUUGGACAAGUUCAUUUUCAGCGUUUGCCCUGUUGUAGAGUUAUAGGCGCCCUGUCUUCAUUCGAUGGUGCCCUAACUCCAGAACCUCGCAUUGGACAUAUGGUCGUGAGAGUCCAGUGGGGGGUCCCAGUGCUCACCCUGUCUGAGCCAUCAGCUUGUCGUAGGGCUUUCUGUGGAUUCAUGCUCUCGGGGAUGUCAGGUCUCCCUCCCGUGGCACUGAGCACAGCCACCUGGUGGGUGUCUCAUUCAUGUCCUUGCUCCCAUCAGUCUUUUGGAAAAGAACUGUUGAGCUGGUUUGAAGUUGCCCUAGUAUUUCAGAGCUAUGUCAAAUGUCUUGUUACAAAUGUCUUGCCAAAUUGUGGUACCGCAAUGGAAGUGAAUGUUACUCUUCUUUAUUGUUGUUGUUGAGUCAUUUUCCAUAGUGUUUGAGGCCAGUUUUGAACUGGGCAAAUAUGAUUCUCUCUGACUGGAGGCCAGGUACUCUGUGCAUUAUGGCGCCCCCUGGCAGCCCUUAGUAUUCUUUGAAAAAUGACAGGAAGAAUGGGAGGAGUGUGAGAAGACUUGUAGGAGUCACAGACUGACAUAAGCAGAACCUUGUCUGCCAUGGGAGGAAUGCAAGUGAGCUCCGUGGGAUGCACAUGGGAGAAGAGGUAGAAAAUGUGCCAUGUGCUUUUCCCAACCAGGGACCCUUUUGUUGUCUUAUCUUUCUAAGAAGCAGUGGUCUACUUGGUGGGCACACAUCCCUAGAAACCACUUUUGUGGAUUCUUUUAUGCUGUGCCUCUUGUUUCCCUCUCAUCCCCUGUGCCUGCUAGAGCAGAGCACAUUUGUAGCCGCACAGAGACCCCGUUUUGUAUGUCUCAUUCCACACCCCCAACCCCUAGUCUCUUCCAGGAGGGCGAGAAAUGUUUCACCAACAGUACUUGAGAGCAUGGAUUGGUCUCUCCUUUGGUCUUUGUUCCUGUCAUGUUUGACAUUGUUUUCUUUUUGUUUACUCUUCUCUUGGUUCUGCUUUCUUUGUUAUGUAUCUUUCUGUUAGAAUCUCCUUAGAUUUCUUCAAAUGUCUUUAUAGUCCUCAUAUUUGGGGAAUACUGUAGUCUAGUAGAUUUAUAGAUUACAGCUUGUUCAGCCAUUCCCCAAUCAAUGGGCAUUCCUUUGGUUUCCGGUUUGUUUUUUUUUUUGCUUUAGCUGAAAAGUACUGCUGUUUAUUAGAAUUAAAAUGCUUUACUUUGA